AUUGAACGCUGGCGGCAGGCCUAACACAUGCAAGUCGAACGGUAACAGGAAGAAGCUUGCUUCUUUGCUGACGAGUGGCGGACGGGUGAGUAAUGUCUGGGAAACUGCCUGAUGGAGGGGGAUAACUACUGGAAACGGUAGCUAAUACCGCAUAACGUCGCAAGACCAAAAAGGGGGACCUUCGGGCCUCUUGCCAUCGGAUGUGCCCAGAUGGGAUUAGCUAGUAGGUGGGGUAAUGGCUCACCUAGGCGACGAUCCCUAGCUGGUCUGAGAGGAUGACCAGCCACACUGGAACUGAGACACGGUCCAGACUCCUACGGGAGGCAGCAGUGGGGAAUAUUGCACAAUGGGCGCAAGCCUGAUGCAGCCAUGCCGCGUGUAUGAAGAAGGCCUUCGGGUUGUAAAGUACUUUCAGCGGGGAGGAAGGGAGUAAAGUUAAUACCUUUGCUCAUUGACGUUACCCGCAGAAGAAGCACCGGCUAACUCCGUG
This 490-nucleotide ribosomal RNA is filed under the name uncultured bacterium. RNAcentral's name for it is "partial 16S ribosomal RNA". It matches the Rfam family "Bacterial small subunit ribosomal RNA", at positions 30 to 507 of the family's 1533-position model. The record is from RNAcentral.